GACAUCAACCGAGAUUCCGUUAGUAGUGGCGAGCGAACGCGGACCAGGCCAGUGCCUGGUGUUUAAUUAGCAAAAGCUUCUGGAAAGUAGCGCCAUAGUGGGUGACAGCCCCGUAUGCGAAAAUGAAACAUCAGGACUUGAGUAGGGCGGGACACGUGUAAUCCUGUCUGAAUAUAGGGGGACCACCCUCUAAGCCUAAAUACUCGUAUAUGACCGAUAGCGAACUAGUACCGUGAGGGAAAGGUGAAAAGCACCCCGAUGAGGGGAGUGAAACAGUACCUGAAACCGAAUGCUUACAAUCAGUAGGAGCCUCCUUGAGGGGUGACUGCGUACCUCUUGCAUAAUGGGUCUGUGACUUAAUGUAUCAAGCAAGCUUAAGCCGUUAGGUGUAGGCGCAGCGAAAGCGAGUCUGAAUAGGGCGACUGAGUAUGAUGCAUUAGACCCGAAACCCGGCGAUCUAGGCAUGACCAGGUUGAAGGUGCGGUAACACGCACUGGAGGACCGAACCGUUUAAUGUUGAAAAAUUAUCGGAUGAGUUGUGUUUAGGGGUGAAAGGCCAAUCAAGCCGGGAAAUAGCUGGUUCUCCGCGAAAACUAUUGAGGUAGUGCCUCGGAUGUUUUCCGAUGGGGGUAGAGCACUGGAUGGAUGCGGGGGUCGCGAGAUCUACCAAUUCUAACCAAACUCCGAAUACCAUCGAGUUAGUCCGGGAGACAGACGGCGGGUGCUAAGGUCCGUCGUCAAAAGGGAAACAGCCCUAACCUACAGCUAAGGUCCCCAAGUCAUCACUAAGUGGGAAAGCAUGUGGGAUUUCCAAAACAACCAGGAGGUUGGCUUAGAAGCAGCCAUCCUUUAAAGAAAGCGUAACAGCUCACUGGUCUAAAUAAGAGAUCCUGCGGCGAAAAUGUAACGGGGCUAAAGAUAUGUACCGAAGCUUAGGGUGUGCAAUUUAUUGCACGCGGUAGCGGAGCGUUCCGUAGGCCGAUGAAGCGAUCUGGUAAUGGGUCGUGGAGGUAUCGGAAGUGCGAAUGCAGACAUGAGUAGCGAUAGGAGGGUGAGACACCCUCCCGCCGAAAGACCAAGGGUUCCUGCUUAAAGCUAAUCUGAGCAGGGUAAGCCGGCCCCUAAGACGAGCCCGAAGGGGGUAGUCGAUGGGAACCACGUUAAUAUUCGUGGGCCUGGUGGUGUGUGACGGAUCUCGUGAGUUGUCAGUCCUUAUUGGAUUGGACUGGCUUCGAAGAGGUUCCAGGAAAUAGCCCCACCGUAUAGACCGUACCCGAAACCGACACAGGUGGUCAGGUAGAGUAUACCAAGGCGUUUGAGAGAAGUAUCCUGAAGGAACUCGGCAAAUUGCCUCCGUACCUUCGGAAGAAGGAGGCCCUCACAUUGCGCAAGCAGUAUGAGGGGGCACAGGCCAGGGGGUAGCGACUGUUUAGCAAAAACACAGGACUCUGCUAAGUCGGCUUCAAGACGACGUAUAGGGUCUGACGCCUGCCCGGUGCUGGAAGGUUAAGAGGAGGAGUGCAAGCUCCGAAUUGAAGCCCCAGUAAACGGCGGCCGUAACUAUAACGGUCCUAAGGUAGCGAAAUUCCUUGUCGGGUAAGUUCCGACCUGCACGAAUGGCGUAACGACUUCCCCACUGUCUCCAGGAUAUGCUCAGCGAAAUUGAAUUCUCCGUGAAGAUGCGGAGUACCCGCGGUUAGACGGAAAGACCCCGUGCACCUUUACUGCAGCUUCAGAGUGGCAUUAGGAAAGAACUGUGUAGAAUAGGUGGGAGGCUUUGAAACUUGGGCGCCAGUCCGAGUGGAGCCGAAAUGUGAAAUACCACCCUGUUGUUUUCUGAUGUCUAACCUCGCACCGUUAUCCGGUGCAGGGACCCUCUGUGGCGGGUAGUUUGACUGGGGCGGUCGCCUCCUAAAGAGUAACGGAGGCGCGCGAUGGUAGGCUCAAGCCGGUCGGACAUCGGCUGUUGAGUGCAAUGGCAUAAGCCUGCCUGACUGCGAGACUGACAAGUCGAGCAGAGACGAAAGUCGGUCAUAGUGAUCCGGUGGUUCU
RNAcentral lists this ribosomal RNA (2052 nucleotides) under marine metagenome. Its description in RNAcentral is "bacterial LSU rRNA". It matches the Rfam family "Bacterial large subunit ribosomal RNA", at positions 221 to 2430 of the family's 2925-position model. The record is from RNAcentral.